Molecule: small nuclear RNA, 107 nt
Filed under: Dasypus novemcinctus (nine-banded armadillo)
Lineage: Eukaryota; Metazoa; Chordata; Mammalia; Cingulata; Dasypodidae
Source: RNAcentral
GGGCUCAAUUUGGCAGCACAUAUACUAAAAUUGGAAGGUGACAGUAAAGAUUAGCAUGGCCCCUGAGCAAAGAUGGCAUGCACAUUUGUGAAGAGUUCCAUAUUUAU